GACGAACGCUGGCGGCGUGCCUAAUACAUGCAAGUCGAGCGCUCAAGCGUGGUACUUGUUCCAACUGCAUUAGCAGCGAACGGGUGAGUAACGCGUGGGUAAUCUUCCUUUAAGCGUGGGACAACUUUUGGAAACGAAUGCUAAUACCGCAUAAAAACUUUAAACACAUGUUUUAAUUUUGAAAGAUGCAAUUGCAUCACUUAAAGAUUAUCCCGCCUUGUAUUAGCUAGUUGGUUAGGUAAAGGCUCACCAAGGCGAUUAUACAUAACCAACCUUGGAGGGUGGACGGCCAAAAUGGGACUGGGACCAGGCCCCAACCCCCACGGGAGGCCGCAGUAGGGAAUCUUUCGCCUUGGACGAAAGUCUGAACGAGCAAAGCCGCGUGAGUGAAGAAGGUUUUCCGAUCGUAAAAAUCCGUUGGUAGAGAAGAAAGUUGGUGAGAGUGGAAAGCUCACCAAGUGACGGUAACUAAUCAGAAAGCCACGGCUAACUACGUG
RNAcentral lists this ribosomal RNA (497 nucleotides) under uncultured bacterium. Its description in RNAcentral is "partial 16S ribosomal RNA". It matches the Rfam family "Bacterial small subunit ribosomal RNA", at positions 28 to 507 of the family's 1533-position model. The record is from RNAcentral.